Molecule: ribosomal RNA, 1555 nt
Filed under: human gut metagenome
Description: bacterial LSU rRNA
Rfam family: Bacterial large subunit ribosomal RNA
Source: RNAcentral
CCGGGACCAUCCGGUAAGGCUAAAUACUCCCGAGAGACCGAUAGCGAACCAGUACUGUGAAGGAAAGGUGAAAAGCACUUCGAAUAGAAGAGUGAAAUAGUCCCUGAAACCAUGCGCCUACAAGCGGUCGGAGCAGCUUAAGCUGUGACGGCGUGCCUUUUGCAUAAUGAACCUACGAGUUACUUUUUCCGGCAAGGUUAAGCAUCUUGAGAUGUGGAUCCGAAGCGAAAGCGAGUCUGAACAGGGCGGAUAGUCGGAAGGAGUAGACGCGAAACCAAGUGAUCUACCCUUGGGCAGGUUGAAGGUUAGGUAACACUAACUGGAGGACCGAACCGAUAAGCGUUGAAAAGCUUCCGGAUGACCUGAGGGUGGGGGUGAAAGGCUAAUCAAACUUGGAGAUAGCUCGUACUCCCCGAAAUGCAUUUAGGUGCAGCCUUGUGGGUUACUGAUGUGAGGUAGAGCGACUGAUAAGAUGCGAGGGCUUCACCGCCUAUCAAGUCUUGACAAACUCCGAAUGCGCAUCAGUUUUACCUCAGGAGUGAGGGCAUGGGUGCUAAGGUCCGUGCCCGAGAGGAGAAGAAUCCGGACCACCUGCUAAGGUCCCGAAAUGACAGCUAAGUUAAACUAACGAAGUCUGACUGCUAAGACAGCUAGGAUGUUGGCUUGGAAGCAGCCAUUCAUUUAAAGAGUGCGUAACAGCUCACUAGUCGAGGAGUUUGGCGUGGAUAAUAAUCGGGCAUAAGUGUUUUACCGAAGCUAUGGGAUACGUAAGUAUCGGUAGGGGAGCAUUCCACUCGGCGUUGAAGGCGAAGCGUGAGCUUUACUGGAGCGUGUGGAAAAGCAAAUGUAGGUAUAAGUAACGAUAAAGGGGGUGAGAAACCCCCUCGCCGCAAGACUAAGGUUUCCUGAUCAACGCUAAUCGGAUCAGGGUUAGUCGGGUCCUAAGGCUCAGCCGAACGGUGAGGCCGAUGGCAGAACAGGUUAAUAUUCCUGUACUACCUGUAGGAGUGACGUGGAGACGGAGGAGUGACAACGCCGCGGACUGACGGAAUAGUCCGUUAAAGGGUGUAGAUGUUGAUUAUCCCAGGCAAAUCCGGGAUAAGAGUCGAACCUGACAGUAUACCAAUUUCCCCGGAAAACGGUAAUAGUGCGUGUAAACAUACUCCCAAGAAAAUCCGCUAAACUUAAUCUUACAGGUACCCGUACCGUAAACGGACACACGUAGUCGGGUUGAAUAUACUCAGGCGCUUGAGUGAAUCACGGUUAAGGAACUAGGCAAAUUGACCCUGUAACUUCGGGAUAAAGGGUCCCUACCCGGUGACGGGAGGGCGCAGAGAAUAGGUCCAGGCAACUGUUUAACAAAAACACAGGGCUGUGCAAAAUUGAAAGAUCACGUAUACAGCCUGACACCUGCCCGGUGCUGGAAGGUUAAGAGGAGAUGUCAUCGCAAGAGAAGCAUUGAAUUGAAGCCCCAGUAAACGGCGGCCGUAACUAUAACGGUCCUAAGGUAGCGAAAUUCCUUGUCGGGUAAGUUCCGACCUGCACGAAUGGCGUA